Long non-coding RNA from Drosophila teissieri, 862 nucleotides. RefSeq lists it as uncharacterized. The transcript is spliced from 3 exons. The record is from RefSeq and is a predicted model, not a curated record. NCBI's taxonomy places the organism in Eukaryota, Metazoa, Arthropoda, Insecta, Diptera, Drosophilidae.
AGUUGGCAUACGGACUUUUCAUUUUCCAUUUCCACUUCCAUUUCCAUUUGCCUGUCGAUUUCCACAUGCCCAUGCCCAAUUCCAUUUUCAUUUUCAUUUCCAUUUCCAUUCAUCAAAAUUGGCUUUGGGUGCGAGGCGGCAGCUCAUAAUAAUUUGUCAUCAAUUAGCCGAGGGUGUUGAUGUGCGCGGUAAACCAAGUGGAAGUGGAAGUGGCAGUGGCAGUGGCAUUGGAGUUGCAAUUGGAAUUGGAUGGACGAGCACCCCGUCGUCCUGCGGCAUACGGUCUUUAUAUUCUAUAUUGCCGCAAGGAAUUCCCACUGUGCCUCCCGUAACUUUGUAAGCGUUUCGAAUUACCAAAUGAAUUGCAGAACGCUGCUUGUGGAGCAAUCGCCGUAUUUGAUUACAAGCAGCCGAUAACAAUUAAUGCUGCACAUUAGCAUUUUUCGCUUGUGGCGGAAUUCGUUUUAAAACAUAUUCAUUUUACGUUGAAUUAAAGCGUAAAUCUCGGCGUUUUCCUUUUCAGCAACACUAUUCACAUACCAAGUUCCACGACCGAACCUGGGCCACAAGUCAAGUUCCCGUAGUCGGUGGCGAUCAAAAACGCUCUUAAUAAUGAAAGUUUAUGGCCAGCAGCGGCACAUUCCACCGCUCCGCCACCUGCAAAGCAUGAAUGAACCAGGCUUAAUCCGGGCCAAAAAGCCAACUUGGCCCCAAUGACCAGAGCCCAGUGACCAGAGACCAGUGACCAGAGUCGAGAGCCCAGUGACUAGAGUUUGGAGACAGAGACAUAUACGGCCUGCCAUUCAUAUCCUACACAUUAUACAAAAGACCACUUAAAAUCCAUGCCAUACGCGAUUGAGCG